GCGCCGUAGGACCUCUGUUGACGUUCAUUUUUUUUAUCCGACACUUUUCCCCGAAGGGACUCAGUGUUAGGAUAAGAGCCUCAAUUCACACAGUAGAAAUGAGGUUAAGUACCUCGCGCAAAGGGGGGGUGUGGUGGUGCAGUGGGUUGAACCAGGUCCUGCUCUCCAGGGGGUCUGGGGUUUGAGUCCCGCUCGGGGUGCCUUGCAAUGGACUGGCGUCCCGUCCUGGGUGCGUCCCCUCCCCCUCCAGCCUUUCGCCCUGUGUUGCCGGGUUAGGCUCUAGCUUUCCACGACCCUGUACGGGACAAGCGGUUCAGACUGCGUGUGUGUAUGCCUUGCUCAAGGGUACUACAGUAGGAGGUGGGAUUCAAACCCAGGACCUUUGAGUGUAAGACAGCAGCUCGAACCGCUACACCGCCUCUUCAAGACCAGGGUGACGUGUUUCGGGAAAAUAAGUGCGCCGGCAGCACUGCGGUGACGUGCGCGGCUUUUGGUUUUGCGCCGAGUCGCGUCCCUCACCCAGGCGGCUGUGUGCGCAGCUGUUCCCGGUGACGACCGUUUUUUGGGUCAUUAAAACAUCAAUUGCCGUUAUCAGGAAGGAUCUGUGAUGGCUGUGGGAGUGGUGUAUUAUUUCAUUUUAACAGCGUUCCAGCAGAAAGAACCCCCUCCCCACCUGCCAAAUCACUCUCUCUCUUACACACACACACACACACACAGAGAGAGAGAGAUAAAAAUUUGGACAAACUGCUGUUUUCAAGUGAAGAGAGGUGGCAGGGGGGCAGUUUUGAAACUUUUCAACUCUCCUUUGAUUUGUGUUACACACCAGAGCUAAUAUUGACACCCAGCUGGCGAGGCCUCGAGGUCGCCGGCGGUCCUCGGUGUUUCGGAGGGUAUCGUGUUCUGUUGUGAGAGCUCAGAAGCGCGGAGGGAUGCCGUCGAGAGGCGGCGUCAGCACGCCGCCGCGGGGCCGUGUCCAACGGUGGGCGAGUUGCUCUGCUGGGGAGCGGCGGUCAAGGACGUCCAAGCGCUCCCCCGACUCACCGGGCCCCUUUGACGUGUCUUACCGGGAAGAAAUGAGCCAGCGGAUGAUGGGGUGGAAGGACUCUUCUCGUGAGUCCAAGAUCCCUACCGGCAGGUGGCAGUCUGCAGCGUCUCCUUUUUCGUCUUCGGUAGGACGCAACGGGACGGGGUAGGUCCUUUUUCAAUACCUGCAGGGAAAUUCCAUGUUGAGGAGCUGAGAGCCCCUUCACUUGAGUUAUGGAUGCAGAUGGCUGCUGGUUAGCAAGACCCCCAAAUGCGCCUUUUGUGCACCGUAAAGGAACCAGCUGGUGACUCAAUCAGAUCAUGGAGAUCACAUCUUAGAGUCGAUGUGAGCCAUUGUCCAUAGUAGACGAACUUCCUACUCAUCCUGGCCUUUACCACUACCUGUAGAGUGUACGUCGUUUCUGUGUCCUUUUACCCUAUCUUUAUUUCCAGACAAGGAGGAGGACGUGAAGGGUUUUUUGAUUCUUCUUCUUCCAACUCUGUAAUCCAUAUAUUCUUAUUUGCUGCUAUCCUUCCAGAACAUUUCCGAUCAACCGCAUGUUCUCUGCGUAUCACUGUGCCGUGUAGCGUCUCACGCACACGCGCGCACUCGCGGACAUGAGACUGACAUGGGCUUGGCUAAGCAGCAUGUGAACCGCUCAGCUAUUCUGGAUUCUGCCAGGCUUUGUACCUCCUGACCAUCUCACCGCUGGGCUUUGGCCUACCGAUGACCCCGCUCUCUUCUGGACGAUUGCUCAACGAUUCCCAGCAACAGGUGGUCCCGUCUCAGUGCCGCGGAGCGACAGACACAUUGCUGGCAUUGCUGCUCUGUGUCUCAUUCUGAUACCAUUGUACUCAGCAGCUCUUCUCCUUUCAAGCAAUACUUUGAAACGGAACAUUUUGAGUUUUUGUUUCAGUGCUGGGCCAGAACGUGGGAGAAGAUUUCUCACGGUCACGCCACCGUCUGAGGUCAGACACGAGCGCCGUCAAGGCCGGUGCGGCUCUUCUCUCUUCGGCGCGGAGGGGCUGUCACGCCUGUCCUUGGCCGGUGGAUUCCAGUCCUCCCGUUUCCCCCCCGGGCCGGACGGGUCCUCCUCGGCUGUUCCCAGCGGUCCGGCAGCCUCUCGUUGAAGACAGCAGGUUGAUUCGAGUAGCGGGCUCUCAAAACAG
This 2193-nucleotide long non-coding RNA is filed under the name Scleropages formosus (Asian bonytongue). Its description in RNAcentral is "lncRNA (ENSSFOG00015029717.1)". Lineage: Eukaryota; Metazoa; Chordata; Actinopteri; Osteoglossiformes; Osteoglossidae. The record is from RNAcentral.